AGGCAUUACAGCUCGUCCUCGCGAAAUGCAUCUAGAUUAGAGUUUGAUCCUGGCUCAGACGAACGCUGGCGGCGUGCUUAACACAUGCAAGUCGAGCGGUAAGGCCCCUUCGGGGGUACACGAGCGGCGAACGGGCGAGUAACACGUGAGCAACCUACCCAUCACAUCGGGAUAACUCCGGGAAACCGGAGCUAAUACCGAAUACGACCACCUCAGGCAUCUGAUGGUGGUGGAAAGCUCCGGCGGUGAUGGAUGGGCUCGCGGCCUAUCAGCUUGUUGGUGGGGUAAUGGCCUACCAAGGCUUCGACGGGUAGCCGGCCUGAGAGGGUGACCGGCCACACUGGGACUGAGACACGGCCCAGACUCCUACGGGAGGCAGCAGUGGGGAAUAUUGGACAAUGGGCGAAAGCCUGAUCCAGCAACGCCGCGUGAGGGAUGACGGCCUUCGGGUUGUAAACCUCUUUCAGCAGGGACGAAGCGCAAGUGACGGUACCUGCAAAGAAGCACCGGCCAACUACGUGCCAGCAGCCGCGGUAAUACGUAGGGUGCGAGCGUUGUCCGGAAUUAUUGGGCGUAAAGGGCUCGUAGGCGGUCUGUCCCGUCGGGGGUGAAAACUCGGGCUUAACCCUGGACCUGCUUCCGAUACGGGAGACUAAGGUUGCAGGGAAAAUG
RNAcentral lists this ribosomal RNA (672 nucleotides) under uncultured Nocardioides sp. RNAcentral's name for it is "bacterial SSU rRNA". It matches the Rfam family "Bacterial small subunit ribosomal RNA", at positions 1 to 660 of the family's 1533-position model. Lineage: Bacteria; Bacillati; Actinomycetota; Actinomycetes; Propionibacteriales; Nocardioidaceae. The record is from RNAcentral.